Molecule: ribosomal RNA, 435 nt
Filed under: uncultured bacterium
Lineage: Bacteria
Description: bacterial SSU rRNA
Rfam family: Bacterial small subunit ribosomal RNA
Source: RNAcentral
AUUGAACGCUGGCGGCAUGCCUUACACAUGCAAGUCGAACGGUAACGCGGGGCAACCUGGCGACGAGUGGCGAACGGGUGAGUAAUGCGUCGGAACGUGCCCAGUAGUGGGGGAUAGCCCGGCGAAAGCCGGAUUAAUACCGCAUACGACCUACGGGUGAAAGCGGGGGACCGUAAGGCCUCGCGCUAUUGGAGCGGCCGAUGUCAGAUUAGGUAGUUGGUGGGGUAAAGGCCUACCAAGCCUUCGAUCUGUAGCUGGUCUGAGAGGACGACCAGCCACACUGGGACUGAGACACGGCCCAGACUCCUACGGGAGGCAGCAGUGGGGAAUUUUGGACAAUGGGCGCAAGCCUGAUCCAGCAAUGCCGCGUGAGUGAAGAAGGCCUCGGUUGUAAGACUCUUUCAGUCGAGAAGAAAAGGACUGCAGUGAAUAACU